Molecule: ribosomal RNA, 253 nt
Filed under: uncultured bacterium
Lineage: Bacteria
Description: partial 16S ribosomal RNA
Rfam family: Bacterial small subunit ribosomal RNA
Source: RNAcentral
UACAGAGGGGGCAAGCGUUGUUCGGAAUUACUGGGCGUAAAGGGCGCGUAGGCGGCCUGUUAAGUCGAACGUGAAAUCCCCGGGCUCAACCCGGGAACUGCGUCCGAUACUGGCAGGCUUGAAUCCGGGAGAGGGAUGCGGAAUUCCAGGUGUAGCGGUGAAAUGCGUAGAUAUCAGGAGGAACACCAAUGGCGAAGGCAGCACUCUGGGACGUGACUGACGCUGAGACGCGAAAGCGUGGGGAGCAAACAGG